UACAGAGGGUGCAAGCGUUGUUCGGAAUCAUUGGGCGUAAAGGGCGUGUAGGCGGUUUGUUAAGUCAUGUGUGAAAGCCCUCGGCUCAACCGGGGAAGUGCACUCGAAACUGCAAGGCUAGAGUCUCGGAGAGGAUCGUGGAAUUCUCGGUGUAGAGGUGAAAUUCGUAGAUAUCGAGAGGAACACCGGUGGCGAAGGCGGCGAUCUGGGAAGAUACUGACGCUGAGGUGCGAAAGCGUGGGGAGCAAACAGG
RNAcentral lists this ribosomal RNA (253 nucleotides) under uncultured bacterium. RNAcentral's name for it is "partial 16S ribosomal RNA". It matches the Rfam family "Bacterial small subunit ribosomal RNA", at positions 524 to 776 of the family's 1533-position model. The record is from RNAcentral.